Molecule: long non-coding RNA, 211 nt
Filed under: Carica papaya (papaya)
Lineage: Eukaryota; Viridiplantae; Streptophyta; Magnoliopsida; Brassicales; Caricaceae
Description: long non-coding RNA (CPAP_LNC016058)
Source: RNAcentral
GAGUGUAUUAUAUGUUCGUACUCUAAUGAAACAAUCUUCUAAUGGAAGAAGUUACUUUCUAUAAAUUUUUGUAGAUAUGUAUUUUGGCAGCCAUCUCAUUGGCCGCAGAUAUAAAAUUUGAAACUCAAAAUUUGUUGUAUUGGAUGAUAUUUUGCACUGCAUAUGUAUAUGUUUAUUUUUAUGCACUCAUAUAUAUUUUGUUAUCAGGCUC